GGCAGGGGGUGACUCCAGCAAGCUCGCAGUUGAAAAAGGACUGAGUGAAGCUCGGUCACGUUCUCGAACUCUCUCCAAACACAAGCGUGACCGCACUCCUCCCCGAGCUCGUAGGAAGAGGAGCUCAGACCGCAGGGUUCGACGGAGCUCUCCCCCAGGAAGAUUCCACAGCUACGCCCCCGUCAAUGCUCCAAAAGCUCAAGUGCCGAUGGAGGUCAGGGAGUAGCUGCCAAGGUCGGAAAGGAUGCGUACACAUCCUGAAAAAUGCAACCCUAACAAGUUCUCCCUCUAUCAUUGUGACCACGGUCACGACACGGAGGAGUGUAUUCAGCUCUGAGACGAGAUCGAAGAGCUCAUCAGACGAGAUCGGCUCGACAGAUUCAUUCGACGUCGGUCUGAAAGUAGGGAAGAUCAACCGAGGGCCCUACCACAACCGGAGCCGCCAAUGAGGGAGGAACAGCUUGAAGAUCGGCCUCUAAUCGAGAUCAACACCAUAUCUGGAGGACCCCAACGGAGAGCAGACCUUCCGCGACUAUGGGAUUCGAAAAAUCUAAGAAUGUAUUACCGAUAAUUUUGCCUUAAGUAAAAAUUUCUUUCAUAUUCGCAUAUCUUUUCUUUUGGUAUGAGCUUAUAACGAUAGAGAGUAGCUCCUUCAGACAAUCGAAAUUAAGCAUGUCAGGAACAAGAGAAAAAUUUCGUCCUGACACGAACGAAGGUCCGAUUAUUUAGAGACUGGAUGGAGGGAGAGGCCCUUGCAACGACCCUUAUGCGCCCCCACAGUCAUGUUAGGAUCAGGAGGAGAACCUCGUCCUAACAUGAGCAAAGUCGAAGGUCCAAUUAUUUAGAGACCGGAUGGGGGGAGAGGCCCUUGCAAUGGUCUUUAUGCGGCCCCACAGUCAU
This 900-nucleotide long non-coding RNA is filed under the name Elaeis guineensis (African oil palm). RNAcentral describes it as "long non-coding RNA (EGUI_LNC032328)". Lineage: Eukaryota; Viridiplantae; Streptophyta; Magnoliopsida; Arecales; Arecaceae. The record is from RNAcentral.